UACGGAGGGUGCAAGCGUUAUCCGGAUUUACUGGGUUUAAAGGGUGUGUAGGCGGGCUAUUAAGUCAGUGGUGAAAUCUCCGGGCUCAACCUGGAAACUGCCAUUGAUACUAUUAGUCUUGAAUUUUGUUGAGGUAGGCGGAAUAAGUCAUGUAGCGGUGAAAUGCAUAGAUAUGACUUAGAACACCAAUUGCGAAGGCAGCUUGCUAAACAAAUAUUGACGCUGAGGCACGAGAGCGUGGGGAUCAAACAGG
RNAcentral lists this ribosomal RNA (253 nucleotides) under uncultured bacterium. RNAcentral describes it as "partial 16S ribosomal RNA". It matches the Rfam family "Bacterial small subunit ribosomal RNA", at positions 524 to 776 of the family's 1533-position model. The record is from RNAcentral.